This 1332-nucleotide ribosomal RNA is filed under the name Salmonella enterica subsp. enterica serovar Saintpaul. RNAcentral's name for it is "partial 23S ribosomal RNA". It matches the Rfam family "Bacterial large subunit ribosomal RNA", at positions 1586 to 2925 of the family's 2925-position model. Lineage: Bacteria; Pseudomonadati; Pseudomonadota; Gammaproteobacteria; Enterobacterales; Enterobacteriaceae. The record is from RNAcentral.
CGAAGUCUUUGAUUCCCCGCUGCCAAGAAAAGCUUCUAGCGAGAUAAAAGGUGCCUGUACCGCAAACCGACACAGGUAGGCGAGGAGAGAAUCCUAAGGUGUGCGAGAGAACUCUGGUUAAGGAACUCGGCAAAAUGACCCCGUAACUUCGGGAGAAGGGGUGCUUUCUUAACGGAAAGCCGCAGUGAAUAGGCCCAAGCGACUGUUUAGCAAAAACACAGCUCUCUGCGAAGCCGUAAGGCGAAGUAUAGGGGGUGACACCUGCCCGGUGCUGGAAGGUUAAGGAGAGGGGUUAGCGUAAGCGAAGCUCUGAACUGAAGCCCCAGUAAACGGCGGCCGUAACUAUAACGGUCCUAAGGUAGCGAAAUUCCUUGUCGGGUAAGUUCCGACCCGCACGAAAGGUGUAACGAUUUGGGCACUGUCUCAACCAGAGACUCGGUGAAAUUAUAGUACCUGUGAAGAUGCAGGUUACCCGCGACAGGACGGAAAGACCCCGUGGAGCUUUACUGUAGCCUGAUAUUGAAUUUUGGUACAGUUUGUACAGGAUAGGCGGGAGCCUUUGAAACCGGAGCGCUAGCUUCGGUGGAGGCGCUGGUGGGAUACCGCCCUGACUGUAUUGAAAUUCUAACCUACGGGUCUUAUCGACCCGGGAGACAGUGUCAGGUGGGCAGUUUGACUGGGGCGGUCGCCUCCUAAAGUGUAACGGAGGCGCCCAAAGGUUCCCUCAGAAUGGUUGGAAAUCAUUCGUAGAGUGCAAAGGCAUAAGGGAGCUUGACUGCGAGACCUACAAGUCGAGCAGGGACGAAAGUCGGGCUUAGUGAUCCGGUGGUUCCGCAUGGAAGGGCCAUCGCUCAACGGAUAAAAGCUACCCCGGGGAUAACAGGCUUAUCUCCCCCAAGAGUCCACAUCGACGGGGAGGUUUGGCACCUCGAUGUCGGCUCAUCGCAUCCUGGGGCUGUAGUCGGUCCCAAGGGUUGGGCUGUUCGCCCAUUAAAGCGGUACGCGAGCUGGGUUCAGAACGUCGUGAGACAGUUCGGUCCCUAUCCGUCGUGGGCGUAGGAAAUUUGAGAGGAGCUGUCCUUAGUACGAGAGGACCGGGAUGGACGCACCGCUGGUGUACCAGUUGUUCUGCCAAGGGCAUAGCUGGGUAGCUAUGUGCGGAAGGGAUAAGUGCUGAAAGCAUCUAAGCAUGAAGCCCCCCUCAAGAUGAGAUUUCCCAUAGCGUAAGCUAGUAAGAUCCCUGAAAGAUGAUCAGGUUGAUAGGUUCGAGGUGGAAGCAUGGUGACAUGUGGAGCUGACGAAUACUAAUAGAUCGAGGACUUAACCAUAUAA